AUGAUUUUACACAGCUACCAAAAAUUGUUUCAUUUUUUGGCAUCUUUGGGAAGGAAGGUGAGCUGUAUGAAGGUGUACCCCAGCCAGGGCACCAUCCCCAUUGCCAGGCAGUUUGGGGUUUGGGAGGGGGUACCCCAGCCAGGGCACUGUCCCCAUUGCCAGGCAGUUUGGGGUUUGGGAGGGGGUACCCCAGCCAGGGCACUGUCCCCAUUGCCAGGCAGUUUGGGGUUUGGGAGGGGGUACCCCAGCCAGGGCACUGUCCCCAUUGCCAGGCAGUUUGGGGUUUGGGAGGGGGUACCCCAGCCAGGGCACUGUCCCCAUUGCCAGGCAGUUUGGGGUUUGGGAGGGGGUACCCCAGCCAGGGCACUGUCCCCAUUGCCAGGCAGUUUGGGGUUUGGGAGGGGGUACCCCAGCCAGGGCACUGUCCCCAUUGCCAGGCAGUUUGGGGUUUGGGAGGGGGUACCCCAGCCAGGGCACUGUCCCCAUUGCCAGGCAGUUUGGGGUUUGGGAGGGGGUACCCCAGCCAGGGCACUGUCCCCAUUGCCAGGCAGUUUGGGGUUUGGGAGGGGGUACCCCAGCCAGGGCACUGUCCCCAUUGCCAGGCAGUUUGGGGUUUGGGAGGGGGUACCCCAGCCAGGGCACUGUCCCCAUUGCCAGGCAGUUUGGGGUUUGGGAGGGGGUACCCCAGCCAGGGCACUGUCCCCAUUGCCAGGCAGUUUGGGGUUUGGGAGGGGGUACCCCAGCCAGGGCACUGUCCCCAUUGCCAGGCAGUUUGGGGUUUGGGAGGGGGUACCCCAGCCAGGGCACUGUCCCCAUUGCAGGCAGUUUGGGGUUUGGGAGGGGGUACGUACGCUGCUCGCAGCUCUCCCCCAGCCAGCCUGGGAGGCAGUGGCAGGAGCCCAGCACGUGGUCACAGCCAGCAGCAUUCUUGCACUUGCACACCUGGUGGCAGUCAAUCCCAAAGAAUCCGUCUGGACAAGCUGGAAAUGCAAAACAUUCCUUUUUAGCACAGUUUCUGCUUCUUUUUUUUUUUUUUCCUGCAUAAACUCCUCUUUUCACAAAUGCUUAAGAGCUGUGUUGCAUCAAGGGUUAAGCCUGCCCAGUUCUGCUACGUGUAUCUUGGAGAAAUGUGACCCUUUUACACAAGCAACAUAUUUCUGCACAGGAAAACAGGGCUGA
RNAcentral lists this long non-coding RNA (1179 nucleotides) under Ficedula albicollis (Collared flycatcher). RNAcentral's name for it is "lncRNA (ENSFALG00000028980.1)". The record is from RNAcentral. Lineage: Eukaryota; Metazoa; Chordata; Aves; Passeriformes; Muscicapidae.